Molecule: ribosomal RNA, 481 nt
Filed under: uncultured bacterium
Lineage: Bacteria
Description: bacterial SSU rRNA
Rfam family: Bacterial small subunit ribosomal RNA
Source: RNAcentral
GACGAACGCUGGCGGCGUGCUUAACACAUGCAAGUCGAACGGAAAGGCCCUUCGGGGUACUCGAGUGGCGAACGGGUGAGUAACACGUGGGUGAUCUGCCCUGCACUUUGGGAUAAGCCUGGGAAACUGGGUCUAAUACCGGAUAGGACCACGGUCUGCAUGGAUUGUGGUGGAAAGCUUUUGCGGUGUGGGAUGGGCCCGCGGCCUAUCAGCUUGUUGGUGAGGUUACGGCUCACCAAGGCGACGACGGGUAGCCGGCCUGAGAGGGUGUCCGGCCACACUGGGACUGAGAUACGGCCCAGACUCCUACGGGAGGCAGCAGUGGGGAAUAUUGCACAAUGGGCGCAAGCCUGAUGCAGCGACGCCGCGUGAGGGAUGACGGCCUUCGGGUUGUAAACCUCUUUCGCCAGGGACGAAGCGCAAGUGACGGUACCUGGAGAAGAAGCACCGGCCAACUACGUGCCAGCCGCCGCGGUAACAC